GUGAAUCAUCAAAUUUUUGAACGCAAAUUGCGCCUUCUUUCGGGAGGCAUGUCUGUUUGAGGGCACCAUUUAACAAAUAAUGUGCGCGUCGUCUGUGCAUACUAGCGGCGUGCACACGUUGAUGAGCUUUCCAGGAAUUUUAAAUUUUUGGUGGCGCAUAAUGAACAGCGUGAAAGUUUUUUUCAGUUCGAGUGUAGUAAAAUCUUUGCUUGGGUUGUGAAAAAACAUAAUCGCGCAAUGGGUGUGGCAAUUUCUUUUUAUCCCUGCCCCAAUGCCACUCUUUCUCUCGAAAGCAUGUCUA
This 301-nucleotide unclassified non-coding RNA is filed under the name Paraglomerales sp. RNAcentral's name for it is "partial contains 5.8S ribosomal RNA and internal transcribed spacer 2". The stretch from base 1 to 66 matches the Rfam family "5.8S ribosomal RNA", at positions 84 to 154 of the family's 154-position model. Lineage: Eukaryota; Fungi; Glomeromycota; Glomeromycetes; Paraglomerales. The record is from RNAcentral.